CACGCAUCGACCUGGUAUUGCAGUACUU
This 28-nucleotide non-coding RNA is filed under the name Callithrix jacchus (white-tufted-ear marmoset). The record is from RNAcentral. RNAcentral also lists the same sequence under 3 other names. Lineage: Eukaryota; Metazoa; Chordata; Mammalia; Primates; Cebidae.